UGCGUAGGCGGUAUUGUGUGUCGAAUGUGAAAGCUCACGGCUUACCCGUGGAAUUGCAUCCGAAACUGCAGUACUAGAGUAUGGGAGAGGUGAGCGGAAUUCUUGGUGUAGCGGUGAAAUGCGUAGAUAUCAAGAGGAACACCGGCGGCGAAAGCGGCUCACUGGACCAAUACUGACGCUGAGGCAACGAAAGCGUAGGGUAGCCAAGA
Molecule: ribosomal RNA, 209 nt
Filed under: uncultured bacterium
Lineage: Bacteria
Description: partial 16S ribosomal RNA
Rfam family: Bacterial small subunit ribosomal RNA
Source: RNAcentral